Molecule: ribosomal RNA, 381 nt
Filed under: uncultured eukaryote
Lineage: Eukaryota
Description: SSU rRNA
Rfam family: Eukaryotic small subunit ribosomal RNA
Source: RNAcentral
AGCUCCAAUAGCGUAUAUUAAAGUUGUUGCAGUUAAAAAGCUCGUAGUUGGAUUUCUGGUGGGAGGGAUCGGUCCUGCAUUCUUUGUAGGAACUUGUAUCCUCUCCGGCCAUCCUUGGGUGGAUCUUGUCUGGCAUUAAGUUGUCAGGCAGGGGAUGCCCAUCGUUUACUGUGAAAAAAUUAGAGUGUUCAAAGCAGGCUUAUGCCAUUGAAUAUAUUAGCAUGGAAUAAUAAGAUAGGGCCCUGGUACUAUUUUGUUGGUUUGCGUACCGAGGUAAUGAUUAAUAGGGACAGUUGGGGGUAUUUGUAUUCAGUAUUCGGUGGUGAAAUACUUAGACCUACGGAAGACAAACUACUGCGAAAGCAUUUGCCAAGAAUGUUU